Molecule: ribosomal RNA, 254 nt
Filed under: uncultured bacterium
Lineage: Bacteria
Description: partial 16S ribosomal RNA
Rfam family: Bacterial small subunit ribosomal RNA
Source: RNAcentral
CACGUAGGGGGCGAGCGUUGUCCGGAUUUAUUGGGCGUAAAGAGCUCGUAGGCGGCUCGGUAAGUCAGGUGUGAAAACUCUAGGCUCAACCUAGAGACGCCACCUGAUACUGCUGUGGCUAGAGUCCGGUAGGGGAGCAUGGAAUUCCUGGUGUAGCGGUGAAAUGCGCAGAUAUCAGGAGGAACACCAGUGGCGAAGGCGGUGUUCUGGGCCGGAACUGACGCUGAGGAGCGAAAGCGUGGGGAGCAAACAGG